This 2283-nucleotide ribosomal RNA is filed under the name human gut metagenome. RNAcentral describes it as "bacterial LSU rRNA". It matches the Rfam family "Bacterial large subunit ribosomal RNA", at positions 14 to 2308 of the family's 2925-position model. The record is from RNAcentral.
AGGGCGCAUGGUGGAUGCCUUGGCACUAGGAGCCGAUGAAGGACGUGACUAACUGCGAUAUGCUUCGGGGAGUCGUAAGUAGACUGUGAUCCGGAGAUUUCCGAAUGGGGAAACCCAACAGGUUUUGCCUGUUAUCGCUCAAUGAAUUCAUAGUUGAGCUGAAGGUAGACGCGGGGAACUGAAACAUCUAAGUACCCGCAGGAAGAGAAAGAAAAUUCGAUUCCCUAAGUAGCGGCGAGCGAACGGGGAACAGCCCAAACCAGAGAGCUUGCUCUUUGGGGUUGUAGGACUGGACAUCUGAGUUACCAAGAAAUAACGUAGUCGAAUGAUAUGGGAAGAUCAGCCAGAGAAGGUAACAGCCCUGUAAACGAAACGUUGUUUCCUCAGUCCAGGAUCCUGAGUACGGCGGAACACGUGAAACUCCGUCGGAAUCCGGGAGGACCAUCUCCCAAGGCUAAAUACUCCCUAGUGACCGAUAGUGAACCAGUACCGUGAGGGAAAGGUGAAAAGCACCCCGGGAGGGGAGUGAAAGAGUACCUGAAACCAUGUGCCUACAAGUAGUCAGAGCCCGUUAACGGGUGAUGGCGUGCCUUUUGUAGAAUGAACCGGCGAGUUAUGCUAACGUGCGAGGUUAAGGCGGAAAGGCCGGAGCCGCAGCGAAAGCGAGUCUGAACAGGGCGAACGAGUACGUUGGUGUAAACCCGAAACCAGGUGACCUACCCAUGUCCAGGUUGAAGGUGCGGUAAAACGCACUGGAGGACCGAACCCGUGUAUGUUGAAAAAUGCUGGGAUGAGGUGUGGGUAGCGGUGAAAUUCCAAUCGAACUUGGAGAUAGCUGGUUCUCUCCGAAAUAGCUUUAGGGCUAGCCUCGGAGUUGAGAAUCGUGGAGGUAGAGCACUGUUUGGACUAGGGGCCCGUCUUGGGUUACUGAAUUCAGAUAAACUCCGAAUGCCACUGAUUUAUAUCCGGGAGUCAGACUGCGAGUGAUAAGAUCCGUAGUCGAAAGGGAAACAGCCCAGACCACCGAUUAAGGUCCCUAAAUAUGUGUUAAGUGGAAAAGGAUGUGGAAUUGCACAGACAACUAGGAUGUUGGCUCAGAAGCAGCCACCAUUUAAAGAGUGCGUAAUAGCUCACUAGUCGAGUGAUCCUGCGCCGAAAAUGUAACGGGGCUAAACACAUUACCGAAAUCGUGGAUGCAGCUUUGCUGCAUGGUAGGAGAGCGUUCUAAGGGCGGUGAAGCCGGACCGUAAGGACCGGUGGAGCGCUUAGAAGUGAGAAUGCCGGUAUGAGUAGCGAAAGACAGGUGAGAAUCCUGUCCACCGAAUGACUAAGGUUUCCUGGGGAAGGCUCGUCCUCCCAGGGUUAGUCGGGACCUAAGCUGAGGCCGAGAGGCGUAGGCGAUGGACAACGGGUUGAUAUUCCCGUACCGGUCUGAUUUGUUUGAGCAAUGGAGGGACGCAGGAGGCUAACGAUGCGCACUAUCGGAUGUGCGUCCAAGCAGCAAGUCUGUCGGCGAGUCAAAUGCUUGCCGGCUCAAGGACAAGCUGUGACGGGUAUGAACGAUUUAUCGUUCUAAGUGAGUGACGUCACACUGCCAAGAAAAGCUUCUAGUUAGAAUCAGACCGCCCGUACCGCAAACCGACACAGGUAGUCGGGUCGAGAAGACCAAGGUGAGCGAGAGAACUCUCGUUAAGGAACUCGGCAAAAUGACCCCGUAACUUCGGGAGAAGGGGUGCUGAUCGCAAGAUCAGCCGCAGUGAAUAGGCCCAGGCGACUGUUUAUCAAAAACACAGGUUUCUGCAAAAUCGUAAGAUGAAGUAUAGGGGCUGACGCCUGCCCGGUGCUGGAAGGUUAAGAGGAUGGGUUAGCGCAAGCGAAGCUCAGAAUUGAAGCCCCAGUAAACGGCGGCCGUAACUAUAACGGUCCUAAGGUAGCGAAAUUCCUUGUCGGGUAAGUUCCGACCCGCACGAAAGGCGUAACGAUCUGGGCACUGUCUCAACGAGAGACUCGGUGAAAUUAUAAUACCCGUGAAGAUGCGGGUUACCCGCGACAGGACGGAAAGACCCCAUGGAGCUUUACUGUAGCUUGAUAUUGGGUGUUUGUACAACUUGUACAGGAUAGGUAGGAGCCGUAGAAGUCGGGACGCUAGUUUCGACGGAGGCAUCGGUGGGAUACUACCCUCGUUGUAUGAACACUCUAACCCACGCCGGCAAUCACGGCGGGAGACAGUGUCAGGUGGGCAGUUUGACUGGGGCGGUCGCCUCCUAAAAGGUAACGGAGGCG